GGGGGUGAAAGGUUUCGACUUGGGUGUGCGGGUAAAAGUGGCAUGCCGCGGACGCAGGGUUGGCCGCGAUAACAAUCCUUGCAAAAAUCAAACGCUAAAAACGAGAAUGAUCGUUUAAUAGCAAGAGCUAAUGAGGUUGUUGCUUCCGUUUUCACGGGAGUAGCGCCUAUGGUUCCUGCUAUUAUGGCGCCAGUCUUCGCUCACUAAUCUGAGCGAAGCCUCAAACCGAUCUGCCUAAGGGUUGGAUUUGAGCGCUUAAUUUAGGCUGGUCUCUCCUCUUGCCUUUGGAUGAGGGAUGAGAUUUUUUUAAAGGAUAGUCCCUUAAGCAUCCCGUUUACCGGAGUUUUAAGGGAUGAAGUUAAAAGGUAACCUACGCAUGUAGAGGCUUUUACGCAAGCGCUUAAGGACGCGGCUUCAAUGCCGCCACCUCCACUA
RNAcentral lists this transfer-messenger RNA (435 nucleotides) under Candidatus Omnitrophota. Its description in RNAcentral is "2-02-FULL-45-21 sp001805845 Standard tmRNA". It matches the Rfam family "transfer-messenger RNA". From Rfam's summary of the family: Bacterial tmRNA, also known as 10Sa RNA or SsrA, is named for its dual tRNA and mRNA-like properties. Its role is to liberate the mRNA from a stalled ribosome. To accomplish this part of the tmRNA is used as a reading frame that ends in a translation stop signal. RNAcentral also lists the same sequence under 1 other name. The record is from RNAcentral. Lineage: Bacteria; Pseudomonadati.